GGUUCCACAGUGUAGCGGUUGGCACAUCUGCUUUACAUGCAGAAGGUCCUGGGUUCAUGUUCUGGUAGAGCCA
This 73-nucleotide transfer RNA is filed under the name Pteropus alecto (black flying fox). It matches the Rfam family "tRNA". From Rfam's summary of the family: Transfer RNA (tRNA) molecules are approximately 80 nucleotides in length. Their secondary structure includes four short double-helical elements and three loops (D, anti-codon, and T loops). Further hydrogen bonds mediate the characteristic L-shaped molecular structure. tRNAs have two regions of fundamental functional importance: the anti-codon, which is responsible for specific mRNA codon recognition, and the 3' end, to which the tRNAs corresponding amino acid is attached (by aminoacyl-tRNA synthetases). tRNAs cope with the degeneracy of the genetic code in two manners: having more than one tRNA (with a specific anti-codon) for a particular amino acid; and 'wobble' base-pairing, i.e. permitting non-standard base-pairing at the 3rd anti-codon position. RNAcentral also lists the same sequence under 1 other name. The record is from Rfam by way of RNAcentral. Lineage: Eukaryota; Metazoa; Chordata; Mammalia; Chiroptera; Pteropodidae.